This 387-nucleotide ribosomal RNA is filed under the name uncultured bacterium. RNAcentral describes it as "partial 16S ribosomal RNA". It matches the Rfam family "Bacterial small subunit ribosomal RNA", at positions 32 to 396 of the family's 1533-position model. The record is from RNAcentral.
AAUCAACGCUGGCGGCGUGCCUCAGACAUGCAAGUCGAACGAGAAAGUUUCCUUCGGGAGACGAGUACAGUGGCGUCCGGGUGAGUAACACGUGGGUAAUUUACCUUUGGGUGGGGAAUAGCAGCCGGAAACGGCUAUUAAUACCGCAUAAUGCAGCGGCUCGACAUCGAGACAGUUGUUAAAGCGGGGAUCUGACAAGGACCUCGCGCCUAAAGAGAAGCCUGCGUCAGAUUAGCUAGUUGGUAGGGUAAUGGCCUACCAAGGCUGUGAUCUGUAGCCGGCCUGAGAGGGCGGUCGGCCACACUGACACUGACACACGGGUCAGACUCCUACGGGAGGCAGCAGUCGGGAAUCUUGCGCAAUGGGCGAAAGCCUGACGCAGCGACG